AGACCGGUUUAUUGGUCGUGCUUUUGUACGUACUGGUAUUAUUGGUUUCUCCUUUCUGACGAACUAUAAUGCCAUUAAUUUGGUGUUAUGGGGAAUCAGGACUGUUACUUUGAAAAAAUUAGAGUGUUUAAAGCAGGCUCACGCUUGAAUACAUUAGCAUGGAAUAACGGAAUAGGACGUUUGAUCCUAUUUUGUUGGUUUCUAGGAUUGACGUA
Molecule: ribosomal RNA, 215 nt
Filed under: Campeiostachys nutans
Lineage: Eukaryota; Viridiplantae; Streptophyta; Magnoliopsida; Poales; Poaceae
Description: Elymus nutans partial small subunit ribosomal RNA
Rfam family: Eukaryotic small subunit ribosomal RNA (bases 37-215)
Source: RNAcentral